AGCAGUCGAGCGGAUGACGGGAGCUUGCUCCUUGAUUCAGCGGCGGACGGGUGAGUAAUGCCUAGGAAUCUGCCUGGUAGUGGGGGACAACGUUUCGAAAGGAACGCUAAUACCGCAUACGUCCUACGGGAGAAAGCAGGGGACCUUCGGGCCUUGCGCUAUCAGAUGAGCCUAGGUCGGAUUAGCUAGUUGGUGGGGUAAUGGCUCACCAAGGCGACGAUCCGUAACUGGUCUGAGAGGAUGAUCAGUCACACUGGAACUGAGACACGGUCCAGACUCCUACGGGAGGCAGCAGUGGGGAAUAUUGGACAAUGGGCGAAAGCCUGAUCCAGCCAUGCCGCGUGUGUGAAGAAGGUCUUCGGAUUGUAAAGCACUUUAAGUUGGGAGGAAGGGCAGUAAGCUAAUACCUUGCUGUUUUGACGUUACCGACAGAAUAAGCACCGGCUAACUCUGUGCCAGCAGCCGCGGUAAUACAGAGGGUGCAAGCGUUAAUCGGAAUUACUGGGCGUAAAGCGCGCGUAGGUGGUUUGUUAAGUUGGAUGUGAAAGCCCCGGGCUCAACCUGGGAACUGCAUCCAAAACUGGCAAGCUAGAGUACGGUAGAGGGUGGUGGAAUUUCCUGUGUAGCGGUGAAAUGCGUAGAUAUAGGAAGGAACACCAGUGGCGAAAGCGACCACCUGGACUGAUACUGACACUGAGGUGCGAAAGCGUGGGGAGCAAACAGGAUUAGA
Molecule: ribosomal RNA, 730 nt
Filed under: Pseudomonas putida
Lineage: Bacteria; Pseudomonadati; Pseudomonadota; Gammaproteobacteria; Pseudomonadales; Pseudomonadaceae
Description: bacterial SSU rRNA
Rfam family: Bacterial small subunit ribosomal RNA
Source: RNAcentral